Punica granatum (pomegranate) is the source of this 2055-nucleotide non-coding RNA. NCBI's taxonomy places the organism in Eukaryota, Viridiplantae, Streptophyta, Magnoliopsida, Myrtales, Lythraceae. The record is from RefSeq and is a predicted model, not a curated record.
AUCCAUAAAAGGUGCUUAUGGAGCUUGGUAAUGAUACAAUGUCGUUUUUUUUUUUUUAUGAAUUACUGUGUCAUCCUGAAAUAAGAGCUGAUAAUGGUACUUUGUGAAUCGCUUUGGUUCAUUUUUCAUUUGCUAAUAUAAUUGUUAAUGUUAUAAAGAGUAUAUUCAAGAUGAGCUUUAUGCCCCAUGUCGUGGGUGUUCUUUUUGAAUGCGGAGGAUUUUUGGAUCACGCAAGCAACAAAACAGUGAAGUCGAAAUAAGUCGAUUAUGGAUAAAUUAAGGUCGGGAUCUCGUCAAGUGGAAAGGAAAGAUGAGAAGUCUAGACGAUACGGAGGCAAUAAGUUUUGUUCAUGAGAAGCCCAAUCUAAUGAGGCCUGAUUCGAAGCAUUGAAGACCCAAAUAAGUUGCUGAUAUUGAUGGGGAAGAGAAGUCAAGUUUAAUUAAUGAAGUAGGUGAAAUAAUUAUUGGCUCUUUAAUUAUGAUAUUGGAAGACUAAAUUCUGAUUAAGUUGGGUUGUUGAGUAUAUUUAGUUGAUUUUCAUUCUCAAUGAUGUAAGUAAUACUUUUAGCUGGCUUUGGGUGGUAGUUGGAGUUAAGUGUUAGUCUAUAAAUGAGUUGUAAUCUUCGACCUAUCAUAUCAUAAUUAAAUUACUCUUGCUCUUGAGGCAUUUUCCAUCGUCUAAAUGAAUAUUUAAGCGUGUAUACGUGAACCCCGCUGCAUCAGUUCGAAUCAGAGCAGGAAUUCGCCUAAACUGGCCAACAAGGCGAGUCACAACCAUCCUCUUAUCGAAGAACGAAGGAUGUUCUACAUUCAUGGAGCAGAGAGUUGAGAGGCUUGAUGCACUCAUGAAAGGCAGCAACUGGAAUGAAGAAGACUGAGGCUUGAUACAAUGAGUUAUUCCUCUGGAAGCACGAGGGUUGAGGAGUUAUUGGAAUUGAUGUCUGAUGUAGACGAGUUCCUUCGACUACUAAGACAUUCUCGAUGACGGAAGAUGACUUGAUCGAGCAGUUUAUCGUUUAAGGGGUAGAGCUUCUAUUUGGUGGGAAAGGUUGCAAAGAGAUUGUCUUUAAGAUAAUAAGGAUCCGAUAUUCACAUGGGGGCUUAUGAAGCAUUUGCUAAAGGCUAGAUUCCUUCCUUUGGAAUAUGAGGAGCACCUAUUUGAAUCUCCAAAUGAUUUUGUGGAGUUAAGCCAUUCUAUUCAAACUGAAAAUUCAUAAACGAGUGAUAUUAUGACCUUCGAUGCUGUAAUAAAGGAGGAAAAAGUGCAGAUUGAAGAAGAAGACUCCAAGAACGACAAAAUAGAUGAAGAAGUUUCCGUGAAGGAUGACAAAUCAAAAGAGGAAGAAGAACUAGAGUCCCAAAACAAAUCAACCUUAGAGCAUAAAGAUAUUCAAGUUUUAAUCGUGAAGGAUUCAUCUUUUGAAGAGAAAGUCAUAAAGGUACCAGAUUUAAGUUCUUCAUACAUGGAACUUGAAGACAUUGCAAUUGAAGAUUCAUCAUAUGAGUCAUGUCCAAUACGAGCACCUCCAAAUCAUCCUGAAUGAAACGUUAUAUUUAUCACGUCAGCUCGAGGACGAGCUUCUCACGAGUGUGGGAGAAUAAUGCGGAGGAUUUUUGGAUCAUGCAAGCCACAAAACGGUGAAGUCCAAAUAAGCCGAUUAUGGAUAAAUCGAGGCCGGAUUCUCGUCAAGUGGAGAGGGAAGAUGAAGAGUUUACACGAUACAGAGGCAAUAAGUUUUGUUCGUGAGAAGCCCAAUCUAAAGAGGCCCGAUUCGAAGCAUUAAAGGCCAAAAUAAGUUGUCAAUAUUGAUGGGAGAAAAAGUCAAGUUUAAUUAAUGAAGUAGGUGGAAUAGUUGUUGACUCUUUAAUUAUGAUACUGAAAGACUAAAUUCAGAUUAAGGUGGAUUGUUGAGUAUAAGUAGUUGAUUUUCACUCUCUAUGAUGUACUUAAUGCUUUUAGUUAGGUGGUGUUUGGUUUCAUAAAAGGAUUUUAGAAUUGUGAUUUUAAUUUUGAUUUUGAGUGGUAUAAAUGGGGUCCACCCUUUGACUUUGUAA